AUUCCGGUUGAUCCUGCCGGAGGCCAUUGCUCUCGGGGUCCGCCUUAGCCAUGCUAGUCGUACGGGCUCGGACCCGUGGCGAACAGCUCAGUAACACGUGGCCAAACUACCCUCGAGACCGGGAUAACCUCGGAAAACUGAGGCUAAUCCCGGAUAGCGGUCCCAGGCUGGAAUGCGGGGAUCGCGAAAGGCUCCGGCGCUCGAGGACGUGGCUGCGGCCGAUUAGGUAGACGGUGAGGUAACGGCUCACCGUGCCGAUAAUCGGUACGGGGCAUGAGAGUGCGAGCGCGGAGACGGUGUCUGAGACAAGACACCGGGCCCUACGGGGCGCAGCAGGCGCGAAACGUUUACACUGCGCGAGAGCGCGAUAACGGGACCCCGAGCGCGAGGGCAUAUCGCCCUCGCUUUUCCGGACCGUAAUGUGGUCCGGGAACAAGGGCUGGGCAAGACCGGUGCCAGCCGCCGCGGUAAUACCGGCAGCCCGAGUGAUGGCCGCGAUUACUGGGCCUAAAGCGUCCGUAGCCGGCCGGGCAAGUCCGUCGGGAAAUCCGCGCGCCCAACGCGCGGGCGUCCGGCGGAAACUGCUCGGCUAGGGACCGGGAGACCUGCGGGGUACGUCCGGGGUAGGAGUGAAAUCCCGUAAUCCCGGACGGACCGCCGAUGGCGAAAGCACCGCAGGAGACCGGAUCCGACGGUGAGGGACGAAAGCCGGGGUCACGAACCGGAUUAGAUACCCGGGUAGUCCCGGCCGUAAACGAUGCCCGCUAGGUGUGGCGCGGGGUACGACCCCGCGCUAUGCCGCAGCGAAGGCGCUAAGCGGGCCGCCUGGGAAGUACGUCCGCAAGGAUGAAACUUAAAGGAAUUGGCGGGGGAGCACUACAACCGGAGGAGCCUGCGGUUUAAUUGGACUCAACGCCGGACAUCUCACCGGCCCCGACUGCAGUGGUGACGGCCAGGCUGAUGCCCUUGCUCGAGCUGCAGAGAGGAGGUGCAUGGCCGCCGUCAGCUCGUACCGUGAGGCAUCCUGUUAAGUCAGGUAACGAUCGAGACCCGUGCACCUAGUUGCCAGCGGUGUCCACCGGACAGCCGGGUACACUAGGUGGACCGCCGGUGCCAAACCGGAGGAAGGCGCGGGCAACGGUAGGUCAGUAUGCCCCGAAUGGGCCGGGCGACACGCGGGCUACAAUGGCCGGGACAAUGGGUUCCAACACCGAGAGGUGACGGUAAUCCCCGAAACCCGGUCGUAGUUCGGAUUGCGGGCUGGAACUCGCCCGCAUGAAGCUGGAUUCGGUAGUAAUCGCGCCUCAGAAAGGCGCGGUGAAUACGUCCCUGCUCCUUGCACACACCGCCCGUCAAAGCACCCGAGUGGGGUCCGAAUGAGGCCUGGUCACCAGGUCGAAUCUGGGCUCCGCAAGGGGGCUUAAGUCGUAACAAGGUAGGCGUAGGGGAAUCUGCGGCUGGAUCACCUCCU
Halobacteriales archaeon YIM 93590 is the source of this 1471-nucleotide non-coding RNA. The record is from Rfam. NCBI's taxonomy places the organism in Archaea, Methanobacteriati, Methanobacteriota, Halobacteria, Halobacteriales.